AAUCCCUUUAUGAGGAUCCAUUAGAGGGCAAGUCUGGUGCCAACAACUGCGGUAAUUCCAGCUCCAAUAGCGUAUAUUUAAGUUGCUGCAGUUAAAAAGCUUGUAGUUGGAUCUUUGGUCGUAAAGGUCGGUCCACCUACUCGGUGUGCACCUGCCCUUCCGUCCCUUUUUUCGGCAGCGUGCUCCUGACCUUAAUUGGUUGGGUCACGGCUCCGGUGCUGUUACUUUGAAAAUAUUAGAGUGCUCAAAGCAAGAUUAUGCUCUGAAUACAUUAGCAUGGAAUAACGUGAUAGGAGUCUGGUCCUAUUGUGUGUUGGCCUUCGGGACCGGAGUAAUGAUUAAUAGGGACUGUCGGGGGCAUUCGUAUUUCAUUGUCAGAGGUGAAAUUCUUGGAUUUAUGAAAGACGGACCACUGCGAAAGCAUUUGCCAAGGAUGUUUUCAUAAUCAAGAAUGAAAGUUGGGGGCUCGAAGACGAUCAGAUAUCGUCCUAGUCUCAACCAUAAACGAUACCGACCAGGGAUCAACGGAUGUUGCUCUAAGGACUCCGCCAGCACCUUCUGAGUAAUCAUAGUGUUUGGGUUCCGGGGGGAGUAUGGUCGCAAGGCUGAAACUUAAAGGAAUUGAUGGAAGGGCACCACCAGGAGUGGAGCCUGCGGCUUAAUUUGACUCAACACGGGGAAACUUACCAAGUCCAGACAUAGAAAGGAUUGACAGAUUGAGAGCUCUUUCUUGAUUGUAAGGGUGGUGGUACAUGGCCGUUCUUAGUUGGUGGAGCGAUUUGUCUGGUUAAUUCCGAUAAUGAACGAGACCUUAGCCUGCCAACUAGUUGCACGGAGGUUCCCCUUCGCGGCCAGCUUCUUAGAGGGACUAUGGCCGUUUAGGCCAUGGAAGUUUAAGGCAAUAACAGGUCUGUGAUGCCCUUAGAUGUUCUGGGCCGCACACACGCUACACUGAUGCAGCAAACGAGAUUUUCUUCCUGGUUGGAGAGGAUCGGUAAAUCUUCUCAAAUUGCAUCGUGAUGGGGAUAGACCAUUGCAAUUAUUGGUCUUCAACGAGGAAUUCCUAGUAAGCGUGUGUCAUCAACUCGUGUUGACUACGUCCCUGCCCUUUGUACACACCGCCCGUCGCUCCUACCGAUUGAAUGAUCCGGUGAGGUUUUCGGAUUGCGUCGACGAUGGUGGUUCGCCGCCAUCGACGUCAUGAGAAGUUCAUUGAACCUUAUCAUUUACAGGAAGGAGAAGUCGUAACAAGGUUACCGUAGGUGAACUUGCGGUAG
This 1277-nucleotide ribosomal RNA is filed under the name Pinus taeda (loblolly pine). Its description in RNAcentral is "SSU rRNA". It matches the Rfam family "Eukaryotic small subunit ribosomal RNA", at positions 528 to 1823 of the family's 1831-position model. Lineage: Eukaryota; Viridiplantae; Streptophyta; Pinopsida; Pinales; Pinaceae. The record is from RNAcentral.